CACUACCAAUUUGUAUUUUGAUAUGAAAAAGAAUACACAGUAAAACAUUCUCCCCCUUGUGUAAUUCGUUCCCUUUUGUUGGCUUUUCUUUUAUUAACUGCUCAAUAUUCGAAGCCACAAAAGUGACAAUGUCUAAGUGAAUUGCUAUACAUAGAAUUUAAGCUUACUAAAUAAGAAAAAGUUUAUUCUCUCAAAAGCCAACAAAAACUUCUUAAUAUUCGAAGCCACUAAAACGGCUCAGUAUUUUCUAUUGGAUAUUAACAAAGCCCUUCAAGUUCAGCUAUGCGAUAUAAAACCGAGGUCCCUGUUCAAAACAUAACAGUGUCGAUUUGACGGAGGUGGUUUCAAAGAUGGUUAUUUUCAAUAUUUUCAGUAUAAACAUCGCUUAUAACAGCCUCAAACACUACACAUUACAACGAAUAUGGAAAAUCCCUUUCCUUGUCAUCUCAUCGAUAGCUUCCAACUCCAUUGCUAAAUGAAGAUAGGUUUGAGCAGGUGGUUGAAAAAAUCGGAAUAGUUGAUGGAAUAGCAGGAGAUAGUUGGAGAUGGAAAAAGGAGAUGCGCCGUCGGUGGAUUUAGUUUCAGUAGCGCCGUGGAAGAAACGGGAAAUGAUUCUAGCAUUUUCUAUCCCUGAUUUGAGGGGAGGAAAUAUUUUGGCGCUAUUCUCCAAAUUGUGGGUUUUUUUCUUCUUUUUUAUUGCCAUGUUAGCCUAUUUCAAAAUCCUAUGCAUUCCCUGUGAAAUGGAUUCUGUACGUGUAGACUAAUUCGAAUGGGUUAACCCCAAAUAUCAUCAUCGCUCUAUUAAUGGACUGG
Molecule: long non-coding RNA, 813 nt
Filed under: Olea europaea subsp. europaea
Lineage: Eukaryota; Viridiplantae; Streptophyta; Magnoliopsida; Lamiales; Oleaceae
Source: RNAcentral